Molecule: transfer RNA, 73 nt
Filed under: Nitrospirae bacterium RIFCSPHIGHO2_01_FULL_66_17
Lineage: Bacteria; Pseudomonadati; Nitrospirota
Also listed under: 2 other names
Description: tRNA-Thr
Rfam family: tRNA
About the family: Transfer RNA (tRNA) molecules are approximately 80 nucleotides in length.
Source: RNAcentral
GCCCUUGUAGCUCAGUUGGCAGAGCACUUCCUUGGUAAGGAAGAGGUCACCGGUUCGAUCCCGGUCGAGGGCU